RNAcentral lists this transfer RNA (76 nucleotides) under Roseivirga ehrenbergii. Its description in RNAcentral is "tRNA-Gly". It matches the Rfam family "tRNA". Rfam says of the family: Transfer RNA (tRNA) molecules are approximately 80 nucleotides in length. Their secondary structure includes four short double-helical elements and three loops (D, anti-codon, and T loops). Further hydrogen bonds mediate the characteristic L-shaped molecular structure. tRNAs have two regions of fundamental functional importance: the anti-codon, which is responsible for specific mRNA codon recognition, and the 3' end, to which the tRNAs corresponding amino acid is attached (by aminoacyl-tRNA synthetases). tRNAs cope with the degeneracy of the genetic code in two manners: having more than one tRNA (with a specific anti-codon) for a particular amino acid; and 'wobble' base-pairing, i.e. permitting non-standard base-pairing at the 3rd anti-codon position. RNAcentral also lists the same sequence under 3 other names. The record is from RNAcentral. Lineage: Bacteria; Pseudomonadati; Bacteroidota; Cytophagia; Cytophagales; Roseivirgaceae.
GCGGGUGUAGCUCAGUUGGUAGAGCGACAGCCUUCCAAGCUGUAGGUCGCCGGUUCGAACCUGGUCACCCGCUCAA